Musa acuminata AAA Group (dessert banana) is the source of this 2743-nucleotide RNA transcript. It is a transcript of the gene named protein PLASTID TRANSCRIPTIONALLY ACTIVE 12, chloroplastic-like, with no coding region annotated. NCBI's taxonomy places the organism in Eukaryota, Viridiplantae, Streptophyta, Magnoliopsida, Zingiberales, Musaceae. The transcript is spliced from 13 exons. The record is from RefSeq and is a predicted model, not a curated record.
AUGGCCCCUGUGACUGAGGAUAAGCUUCUUGCGCAACGGCUCCCUGCGAGAUCGCUCUCGAUGCUAAAACCCUAAACUUUCGGGAGACGGAAGAGAGAAGGUGGAUGUUGAUUUGAGAAUACUUUUGAAACAAGAAGCAAGAAUUAGCAUUCAGAAAGAUGGCAUCCUUCUCGCAUUCAUGGCUCUUUCGAGAUCAGUUGGUGGGGAAUUUAAGGUCAGUUGAUUUUGGUAUUUGUGUGAAACCCUGUAGUAGAAAGUUCCAGUUCCAGACACCAUUCGUAGGUGUAAACAAUUCAAGGAAGCAAAACAUUCUUAUUCAAUCAAGUCCAUCCUCUUGGAAAAAGGACAAAAUAUUUCAUGAAAUUAAAUGUGCAAAUAAGGAUGGGAAAUUUGAUCCUUCAUCGAUCGAACCACCACCAUACUAUAGUUACAUGGAUUCAACGUCUGGCCAGCUUGAACCAGCAUCUGGUGCCCGAGCAAGCAUUCCUGGAAGGGAAUAUUGGCCCGAAGGAACAGCUAGUCGCGUGGCUGCUGCCAGGGCCCCAGAACCUCCUGGCAAGUCUGAUGGGAAGCCUUCAUAUGGUAAAAAUCCUGGUAGCAGGCGGAGGAAAUACAAGGGCCAGGCAACUGCUUCAGAAGCUGCAGAAACUAUUUCAGAUAUGAGCAACCAACCUGUUCUUGAGACAUCAGAGCCAGGCGGUUCUGUUGAUGAACCUAUAGACCCAUCUGAAGCAUAUGUUAUUUAUCAGACAGAACCAGAGCAAGAGAACAUGAGUUCUUAUGAGUUGGACAAAGAAAUGGGACGACCACAUCCAUUUGUUGAUCCAGCUUUAGAUAAACCCAUAGAAGAGCCUCGUACGAGUGAAGAUCUUUGGUGGAAUUGGCGAAAACCAGAAAAAGAGCAAUGGUCAAGGUGGCAAAGGAGGCGUCCAGAUGUUGACACGGUUUUUGCAAAGGCUAUGGCAGAAACUGGGCAAAUAAAGUUGUACGGGGACCACCCAACACAAACUGAAACUGCUCUUGCAAGAGCAAGAAGGCAUAUAUUCAAGGAGGAAAGACUACAAGCAGAACAGAGGAGAUUGGAAGAAAUUGGGCCAAUAGCAUACUAUUCAGAAUGGGUCAAAGCAUGGGACAGGGACACUUCACGAGAGGCUGUACAGAAACACUAUGAAGAAACUGGUGAGGAUGUGAACAUUCAACUAAUCGAAAUGUUUGAACAUCAAACUGCCGAAGAAUAUCGCAUCAUGAUGGGCACUGACAUUCGCAUUAAGCGAGAUCCAUUAGCAAUGCGGAUGCGAGAAGAUCUAAUCAAAGAGAUAUGGGGUGGUGAUCCUGUUUAUCCGACUAUCAAUUAUAUUCAAGAUCCUGAUGAAGUAAUUGAUUACAGGGGACCGGAUUUUCAUGAGCCGACACCAAAUAUGCUGGCUUAUCUUAUGGAGCAAGGGAAAAUAAUACCAAGGCAGGAGCUUGAGAAAAUUUUGGCCAAGGAGAAAACCCAAGAACUAGAGGUCACUGACAUGGAUGAAGCUAUGGCAAGUGCUGUUGACAUUGGAGAGGAUGAUGAUGAAGAUGAGGGUGAGGAAGAAGACGAAAAAGUUGAGGAGAAAAUUACUCGUAACUGGAGCGUUCUUAAAACUACUCCUCAGCUGCACAACUCAAAGGAAAAACCAAAGAAGGAAGGCUCCAUGUCUCUAGAAGAGGCUAUAGAUGACUCAGAGAACUUAACUGAUUUCCUUAUGGACUUUGAUGAAGAGGAGUAAUAUUUAAAUUUCGACCAGCAAUUGUUCUACCCAUAUGACUGUGUAAACAACUUUGAGCCGUGGCCUCGGGGCCGACGCGGCUCGGUUCGGGUCCGGACGAUGGGGGAUCUCCCGGGGACGUGUCUCGGGACUAUUGAGGUGGCCGCUUGUGGGGGUCCGAUUGGGACGGAGUCGCUAUCCUCUCCGGGCAGGAACUCCUCGUCUGCGCGUCUCGCGGGGACCUUCGGCUUCGCUCCUGCACAAAGGUCGGGUCGGGGUGCUCAGCCCGACCCCUCCGACGAUCAAGUUAGAUGAUGUGAAGGGGAUUUUAGAUGAAUAAGUCUUUUUGGUCUCUCCUCCUCCCUUUCCGUUAAGAAUGCGAGGGUAUUUAUAGGGAAGCUUACUGUUUCCUGAUGUGCCCGUUUGCAGGGGGCAGGCUGAUAACGUCUGACAAUGGUAUUGACGUGGUGUGAAGAACCGAGCCUGAGCAGGUGUUAAUGCGCCUCGGCCGGCGUUCUGAUCCGUUUGACCAGGUGCUGUCGCAUCGAUCGAGGCAUGAGGCAUCAUAUGACGUAUGAGCUCUAGUUGGCAUGUCACAGGACCAUGGAGGGUUUAAUGAACAUAAUUUGAAGAUUGCUGACAUCCCAUUCAAGUUAUAAAAUCUGAUGCAUCACAAACAGCAACAAUCAUGACAACAUGGUGAUCUUUUAUUAUUGCAAGGUGAAACCUACCCUGCCUGAGUUUAUUGGGGGAUCUUAAGGAUGUAUAAUAGUUGGGAACCGAAGGUGUGGGGUUGUCCGACUUUGAUUGCAGGAUAAAGCAGUAUCCAAAAUCCCAUGUAUUGUUGUGUUGACUCAAACUCUCAUGGUCAAUCAGAGAAGCGUGUGAAAAGACCCACCCUGUACAUCCAAGUGAUGUAGAGACUUUGACACAUUCCUGUGACACUAAAUGUUUGAGAGUUCUUAUCUCGUGUUUAUAUAUUAAUUUUCUUGUGGUUGGGCUGA